This 394-nucleotide ribosomal RNA is filed under the name uncultured bacterium. RNAcentral's name for it is "bacterial SSU rRNA". It matches the Rfam family "Bacterial small subunit ribosomal RNA", at positions 29 to 408 of the family's 1533-position model. The record is from RNAcentral.
AAUCAACGCUGGCGGCGUGCCUAACACAUGCAAGUCGAGCGCGAAAGGGGAGCAAUCCCCAAGUAGAGCGGCGAACGGGUGAGUAACGCGUGGGUAAUCUGCCUCCGAGUGGGGAACAACACCGGGAAACUGGUGCUAAUACCGCAUGACAUCGUUGGACCUUCGGAUCUGACGAUCAAAGCCGGGGACCGCAAGGCCUGGCGCUUGGAGAGGAGCCCGCGUCCGAUUAGCAGUUGGUGGGGUAAUGGCCCACCAAGGCUACGAUCGGUAGCCGGCCUGAGAGGGCGGACGGCCACACUGGGACUGAGACACGGCCCAGACUCCUACGGGAGGCAGCAGUGGGGUAAUUUUUCGCAAUGGGCGAAAGCCUGACGAAGCAACGCCGCGUGGAGGA